RNAcentral lists this ribosomal RNA (449 nucleotides) under uncultured bacterium. Its description in RNAcentral is "partial 16S ribosomal RNA". It matches the Rfam family "Bacterial small subunit ribosomal RNA", at positions 29 to 523 of the family's 1533-position model. The record is from RNAcentral.
AACGAACGCUGGCGGCAGGCUUAACACAUGCAAGUCGAACGGGCCCUUCGGGGUCAGUGGCAGACGGGUGAGUAACGCGUGGGAACGUGCCCUUCAGUUCGGGAUAACCCAGGGAAACUUGGGCUAAUACCGGAUACGUGCGAGAGCAGAAAGAUUUAUCGCUGAAGGAUCGGCCCGCGUCUGAUUAGCUGGUUGGUGGGGUAAUGGCCCACCAAGGCGACGAUCAGUAGCUGGUCUGAGAGGAUGAUCAGCCACAUUGGGACUGAGACACGGCCCAAACUCCUACGGGAGGCAGCAGUGGGGAAUAUUGGACAAUGGGCGCAAGCCCGAUCCAGCCAUGCCGCGUGAGUGAUGACGGCCUUAGGGUUGUAAAGCUCUUUCGCACGCGACGAUAAUGACGGUAGCGUGAGAAGAAGCCCCGGCUAACUUCGUGCCAGCAGCCGCUGUAA